AACGGUGAGGAGGGAAGUCUUGCCUCCAGAAACAUCUCACGAGCUGCGCACGUGGAAGUGAAAGAUGCAGUUCCAUCACCCAAGAAGUUCUCUUCUCACCAACUAACACCUACCAGACUCUCCUUCAGUGGGCAGAAGAUCACAAGUCCUUACUUCAAAAGCUGUGUCAGCAAGUGGAAGCUUUAAAGAAUGAAACACGGGAAAUGAAACGUAACAGUUGCAGUGUAAGCGUGCCAUCUCAUCGCUGGCCUGCUGAAAGCUGUGGAGCAGAUCCUGUGUCAGAUGGUUAUGGGAGAGCACAGCAUGUUUGUGAAGCUCCUUGGAAGGUUGCUACCUCUGGCCCGUCUGUUUGCAGUAGCCAGUCACCUGCUGUGACUCGCAGUGUCUUUGAAGAACUGCUGCAACCAAUGUACCACCAACAGAGGUGAGGACAAACGAAUCUGCUCAAGCCAUUUCUACUGCUUUGUUGAAAACAGCUGGUUGUGAUUCUGUGUGCAGCUGGGUAUAACUGCGGUUCCCUAGAGAGCAUUUACUGCACUUGAGGUCUGCUGGAGACAGGCAGAAAGUUCCAUUAUCAGCUGAUCUUUGGGAUGUGGGGUUUGGGAGAAACAGCCAGCAAGAGAUGUUUUUAACGUGCUGGCACAUGUCCUCUGCUCGUUGUCUGCCAUGUUCUUUUCCCCACAGUAGUAUGGGGACUUGCUGGUUUUGACUUUUUUGAUACUAAAGGAAAUGAGUCAGUUCACUUACGCUUCUCUCCAGUCUGUGUGUUCAGAUACCAUCCAAGUUUUGAACGUAUGAUUUCAGUUUAAACUGGUGAGAGUUGAAAUCUAAUUUUAAGGUGCACCUUGCUAUGAAGAGUGCACGUUGCAUGGGCUUCAGCCCCCUGAUCCCUUUUUCUCCUUUUGCACGAGGAAGUAACGGUGUGUUUUUCUUUAGGCGCCUGUCUGUGGCAUGAACGGAGCUGCACCUCAGCACGUAGACGUGCUCAGCAACAAGCGAUCCACGCGCCGCCCCUGCACAGCACUUGUGCUGGUGUGUUUCCUCAAGGCACCUGUGGUGCACCUGUGUGUUUUGAUGCUCCGUCUGCUGGAAUCCUUUCUCCUCGUGGAGGUGAUGAUCGCUACAACUACGGCCUGCCCCAGGCGAGCGCAAAUCCACCUCUGCCUGAACCAGGCUGUUUUACAAAACCUGCGUUUGCACCCACAGCUUUAAAACCUGCAGAGUCCUGUGUCGGUGCCGCACAGGACAAAUUAGGAUCCGCCUUUGCGAAAAAGGAAGGGCAGUGGGACUGUAACAUCUCUUCAGUGAGAAAUGAACCCACUGCCCCAAAAUGUGUUGCCCUGCAGAACGCAAACAAAACUCGUUCAGCAGUAUCUCUUCAAGAAGUUUCCUUUAAACUCGAUGGGAAAACCCCAGCGUGUACCUCUCAGAAUCUGGCAGAUGCUGAAGCGAAGCCUGCAGAGGGAAGAUGUAACUUCUCAGUGUGGAUGCCUCCAGGCGGAUUUAAAUUUGGCAUAGAGGAGUGCAAUACAAAUUGCGCUAAGAAAGAUGAUCCACCCAAGGAGCGUACAGCAGACUUGACAAACAUGGAUGGAAAAGACAAAAAUGAACUGCCCUCAGGUGGUGGAGUUACACUCCAAUCUCAAGAAACAGCAAACAGGGACAAGAGUGAACACACCUGUGAGAAAGGCACGUGGAUAACACCUCAUGUUUCUGGUACGAACGCAGCCAAAGCAUCUCCUUGUGGUGCGAACUCUGUAGCUGUGCUGGAGGAAGCUACCAGGGAACAAAGUGACCUCAGCCAUGGUGGUGAUGGUUCUGAUGCUGCUGUAGAGGCCUCAGAGGCUUUAAGCACCUCUGAAACGCCAAGAAAAACCAUGGUUUCUGCUCCAAAGUUUGUAUUUAGGUCUGAAUGUGUCAAGAGCGUUUUCAGUAAUGAAAAGACAUUCCCAUCUGGCAAUACCUCUGCCAUUGGUUCCCUCUUUGGAUUCGGCUUUAAUCCUCCAGGAAAGAGCGCUGAUGGAAUUUCAACAUCUCAGAAAGCAGAGCAGGAAAAACCGGGAGUGGCUGAAGCACCCAAAAGCUGCAGUGCAGCUCAGAAGAGCCCAGAAGAGAUGUGAAAUAAGUUCUGUUCAGUCGCUGUGUCAUAUCUUCUGGAAUUUCAUAUGCUCAGAGCUCAUCGGUAGUACAGCUGCUGCAGACAGGGAAAUUGUGGCCAGCACACUGGAUAGCUUAAAAAUCAAACAACUUCCUGUGCAGCGUGGUGCAGGCAGUGUUGCAUUGCUAAAAUGAAUUUCAAACGCUGGAACCUGUUGGGCUCUUCCUAAUGAGGUUCAACACGGCAAAGUGCAGGGUUUUGCAUUUGGGCCGGAAGAACCCCAGGCACCUGUAGAGGCUGGGAGGAGCAGUCCUUGAAAGCAGCUCGGCAGAGAAGGACCUGGGGGUCCUGAUGGACGAGAGACUGAACAUGAGCCAGCAGUGCGCUCUGGCAGCUCGAAAGGCAAAUGGGAUCCUGGGCUCCAUCAGGAGAGGGGUGGCCAGCAGGGACAGGGAGGUGAUUGUCCCUCUCUACUCGGCUCUUGUGAGGCCCCAUCUGGAGUACUGUGUCCAGGUGGAGGUAAAGUCUGGAGAAGAAUGUGAAGGAAUUGUCUUCAAAGAGAGGGCAGAACUUUACAGCUGGGCCAGAGAUGCUGCUCAGCGGAAGGAGCGCGCUCUUGGAGAGCUGAAGGUCCUCUUCCGGACACAGCAGAAGUAUUCCAGGACCCUCAUGAGAAGGGACCAAGUUGUUGAGGUGCGUGCAAAGCAUGUCAUCGCCACAGAAAUGAACUCCUUGCCCUCUGAAACAUCAAACUGUUUGAAUUUGGACAGCUACAGGUGAUGCUGACGGUGAAGUGGAAGUAGAGCGAGUUGCGGUCAGAUGAGAAGUUCAAGAACUGGCUGAUUCUUUCGAGAGGAGAUUGAAGAAUGCCAGCAAAGCUUGUCAGAGCUGCAGAAGGGCCAGCUCUCUC
Molecule: RNA transcript, 3008 nt
Organism: Lagopus muta (rock ptarmigan)
Lineage: Eukaryota; Metazoa; Chordata; Aves; Galliformes; Phasianidae
Gene name: RANBP2-like and GRIP domain-containing protein 1
Exons: 6
Source: RefSeq, a predicted model, not a curated record